RNAcentral lists this ribosomal RNA (305 nucleotides) under uncultured bacterium. RNAcentral's name for it is "partial 16S ribosomal RNA". It matches the Rfam family "Bacterial small subunit ribosomal RNA", at positions 508 to 807 of the family's 1533-position model. The record is from RNAcentral.
ACAGCAGUAGCCGCGGGAAUACGGAGGGUGCAAGCGUUAAUCGGAAUUACUGGGCGUAAAGCGUGCGUAGGCGGUUCGUUAAGUCUGUUGUGAAAGCCCCGGGCUCAACCUGGGAAUGGCAAUGGAUACUGGCGAGCUAGAGUGUGUCAGAGGAUGGUGGAAUUCCCGGUGUAGCGGUGAAAUGCGUAGAGAUCGGGAGGAACAUCAGUGGCGAAGGCGGCCAUCUGGGACAUCACUGACGCUGAGGCACGAAAGCGUGGGGAGCAAACAGGAUUAGAUACCCGCGUAGUCCCUGUCUCUUAUAC